GUUUAUAUAUGGUAGCCGAGUGGGUAAAGCGCUUAUAGCUAUUUACCGUAUAUCGAUGGUUCGAAUCCAUCCCGGAGCA
This 79-nucleotide transfer RNA is filed under the name Rhamnusium bicolor. RNAcentral describes it as "tRNA-OTHER". The record is from RNAcentral. Lineage: Eukaryota; Metazoa; Arthropoda; Insecta; Coleoptera; Cerambycidae.